Diabrotica virgifera virgifera (western corn rootworm) is the source of this 246-nucleotide long non-coding RNA. RefSeq lists it as uncharacterized. The record is from RefSeq and is a predicted model, not a curated record. Lineage: Eukaryota; Metazoa; Arthropoda; Insecta; Coleoptera; Chrysomelidae. The transcript is spliced from 2 exons.
GUUCCCAAACAAACCACUCUUUCCUAAUCUUGAAGUUGAUGUAAUGAGCACCCAAGGGUGCUAACUCUCGCUAGCAGCUGUCCUGCUGGAGGUACAGGAGAGGAAGACUGGUAGAAAGCAGCUGAAGGUACUCAAAAAAAAGAAAAUGUGGAAAUAAUCCAGGCUGGUCGCCUAUUGAUUGUUUCUCUCUGUGUGGUCUGGCCUUGGUGUUGUUGUAGGGUGGCUUUAAGAUUUCAUGGUAGGUGC